AGGAUAAACGCUGGCGGCGUGCCUAACACAUGCAAGUCGAACGCGCUUUCGGGCUUCGGUGCGAGAGCGAGUGGCGGACGGGUGAGUAACACAUGGGUACCUGCCUUUCAGUGAGGGAUACCGGCGAGAAAUCGCCGACAAUACCGCAUGGGCUUGUGGGAACACAAGCAAAGUGGCGCAAGCCACGCUGGAAGAUGGGCCUGUGGCCGAUUAGCUAGUUGGGGGGGUAAUGGCCUCCCAAGGCGACGAUCGGUAGCUGGUCUGAGAGGACGAUCAGCCACACUGGGAUUGAGAACGGCCCAGACUCCUACGGGGGGCAGCAGUGAGGAAUUUUCCGCAAUGGACGAAAGUCUGACGGAGCAACGCCGCGUGCAGGAGGAAGGUUUUCGGAUCGUAAACUGCUUUUCUCGGGGACGAGCAAGGACGGUACCCGAGGAAGAAGCCCCGGCUAACUACGUGCCAGCAGCCGC
Molecule: ribosomal RNA, 470 nt
Filed under: uncultured bacterium
Lineage: Bacteria
Description: SSU rRNA
Rfam family: Bacterial small subunit ribosomal RNA
Source: RNAcentral